RNAcentral lists this long non-coding RNA (1305 nucleotides) under Nicotiana tabacum (common tobacco). RNAcentral's name for it is "long non-coding RNA (NTAB_LNC009993)". Lineage: Eukaryota; Viridiplantae; Streptophyta; Magnoliopsida; Solanales; Solanaceae. The record is from RNAcentral.
CCAGCUCAACCAAUAGGAGCGCCUUGUACAAAUCAAAGCAUUGUAUAUAGAAAAUUGUUCGCAUUGCCAACUGGAUCACUUCGCAUAGAUCACACCGUCACCGCCAUAUUAGAGAUUCUAAGUAGAUAGUUGCAAAUUACAGUGCCAACUUUGCCAAUCGAAGGAUGAACUAUCCGAUCCCUCCAUACGUUCUACCAAUUGACGGACGCAAUUUAGUUUUGCAUUCAAGAGUAUCUCUUGGGCAAGCUCCUUAUUUCCUUGUUUUAUCUUGAAUGUUUUGACAUUUUACUCUGUGGCUUACAUGCAUGUUACAUUUUUCAAGUUAAAAACUCCCGUCGUGCGGAGAUACUUUACAUUUCAAGUCAAACUCCCGUCGUGCGGAGAUACUUUACAUUUCAAGUCAACUACUCCCAUCACAUGGAGAUACAUUCAUCGUGAGGACAUAUUUUACAUUUCAAGUCAACUACUCCCGUCACGUGGAGAUUCUCCCAUUGUGUGGAGACUUAAUGCUCUGAGAGAUGCAGAAUGGUACAUAUCUCGGUUAAAAACCAAGUCAAAAACAAAGGCCCAUCCCGGCAUCCAUAAUGCUCCAAGCUUGGAGACCUCAGAUUCAAAUAUCCCAUCAACCCGAUACCAAAUAACGGCUAGUCAGUAGCCAGGAAUCAUUCAUUCAUGCAUCAUUUACAUCAUAUCUUAACAUAUUUGCAUUACGGUAUAUGGGUAUGUGUGUACUAUGUUUUUGCAGGAUCAAACAUCACGAUGCAGAACUUCGUCUAAGCAGUAAACCAAGCUACAAUGCUAUGAGGGACAACAAACUCAUAAGCGGUCCAAGGAUCCAACUCAAAUUCCAAUAUGAUCAGUAGAACUCUAAAUCAUCGAAUCAUUCAAGUUUCAUAAUGAAGGGAAAAUCCGAAGUCAUUACCGGUGCCAGAAUCUUCUCGUCUUGUAGUAUCAUCAUAACAUGAUACUAGGGAAAUUCCUACAAGCAUCACCUUCUCCAAAUCAUAAUUUCAGAACUAUAUGAGCCCUAAUCCUCGUUAAGCCCAAGGUAUGUAAGCGAUUCAUGGCUAGAAUUUGGCCCCAAUUUCCCAAAAUUCCCAUGGAAUCGUCCCUAAUUCCCACAACUCAUAAUCAUCCUCCAAUCCAUAUGCCGUUCCUGCAAUACAUGCCUGAAGUCGGCACAAAAUUGGUUUUGGUUCGAUUUCUUUGCCCGAAAACUCUUUCAUCGUCUCCAGCCAAAGAGGGACAUAUCUCUCCCCAGCAUUUGGCUAUGGGAGAUCCAAUCUAAAACCCUAAGGAAGCUAC